GGUUAAGCGACUAAGCGUACACGGUGGAUGCCCUGGCAGUCAGAGGCGAUGAAGGACGUGCUAAUCUGCGAUAAGCGUCGGUAAGGUGAUAUGAACCGUUAUAACCGGCGAUUUCCGAAUGGGGAAACCCAGUGUGUUUCGACACACUAUCAUUAACUGAAUCCAUAGGUUAAUGAGGCGAACCGGGGGAACUGAAACAUCUAAGUACCCCGAGGAAAAGAAAUCAACCGAGAUUCCCCCAGUAGCGGCGAGCGAACGGGGAGCAGCCCAGAGCCUGAAUCAGUGUGUGUGUUAGUGGAAGCGUCUGGAAAGGCGCGCGAUACAGGGUGACAGCCCCGUACACAAAAAUGCACAUGCUGUGAGCUCGAUGAGUAGGGCGGGACACGUGGUAUCCUGUCUGAAUAUGGGGGGACCAUCCUCCAAGGCUAAAUACUCCUGACUGACCGAUAGUGAACCAGUACCGUGAGGGAAAGGCGAAAAGAACCCCGGCGAGGGGAGUGAAAAAGAACCUGAAACCGUGUACGUACAAGCAGUGGGAGCACGCUUAGGCG
RNAcentral lists this ribosomal RNA (551 nucleotides) under Escherichia coli. Its description in RNAcentral is "partial 23S ribosomal RNA". It matches the Rfam family "Bacterial large subunit ribosomal RNA", at positions 1 to 591 of the family's 2925-position model. The record is from RNAcentral. Lineage: Bacteria; Pseudomonadati; Pseudomonadota; Gammaproteobacteria; Enterobacterales; Enterobacteriaceae.